AACCAGUGUCUUUGAGGUGGUUGAUGGCACUGGAAAAAGACGAACACAACGGAGAAAUCCAGCACCUUGUUUCUUAUGGAUCUUCUUGUGAUUCCAUACACUGAUUGUAACUGAAUCAGACUUUUCAAUCUACCUAUUAUAUUUUAAAAUGCUGUAGAACAAAAGCUGUUUCUAACGCUUUUCCCCUGCUUCUUUCCUGUAUGCAGGCCUUGAACGAGCAGGACUCUUGCAGAUUUCACUUCACCUC
RNAcentral lists this long non-coding RNA (247 nucleotides) under Homo sapiens (human). Its description in RNAcentral is "non-protein coding lnc-CRLF3-6:1". Lineage: Eukaryota; Metazoa; Chordata; Mammalia; Primates; Hominidae. The record is from RNAcentral.